RNAcentral lists this long non-coding RNA (4505 nucleotides) under Linum usitatissimum (flax). RNAcentral's name for it is "long non-coding RNA (LUSI_LNC006081)". The record is from RNAcentral. Lineage: Eukaryota; Viridiplantae; Streptophyta; Magnoliopsida; Malpighiales; Linaceae.
GAACACUCUUCUGUGGUGGGCCGAACUUGAGCUGCUUUUCUGUCUCUUUUGCUCCUUUUUUCUUUUGGCUUUUGCUAUCUAAUUAUCAGUACCGACAUUUUAGCGUAAGCAGAUUGCUCUCUGCUUCCAAUUUUCCUAUUACUUUCCUUCCGCUCCUCAAUCAAAUCGGUCUUCCUCAAUCUCUCUGUGUUUUCAAUUUCAUCUUCUGUUGACGGAUUCUGCUUCUUCCUUAUGAUCUAACCUACUACCCCCCAUCUGCUUGUUUUUUAAGCUUUGAUUGUAUCUGUUCGUGAUCAUAACUUGGUCUGAUCCACUGAAAUUACCAGGUUCUGGUGACGACACAUCUGCCGUUGAUUUUGCUUCUCGGGUUUCUUUGCAUCCCAAGGUUAGGGGCUCUUCCUGAUUCUCUUGAUGUGAACUUCACCUUUUUUUCCUUCAUGCAUGAUAACUGCUCGACGAAAUGCUUUGUUCUGCAACAUGACACUGUCUGUGCUUUCUAUAAUCUGUUUCCUCUUCGCUAUCUAUAUGGCAAGGCUGAGAAGCUUAAAUUUUCUAUGGUAUGGUACCAUCGAUUGUUGAUCGUCGAAACUAAGAACUUUCGAGGAAGUCAAAACCCUGAGUUCAACUGAUAGAUUCCGUUUGGCUUAGUAGGAGUUAUUGCUGUUUGGGCAAUCAUUUAAAACGAAAAGGAAGAAGAAAAAAGACCUCAGUCUUUUGUCUCUUUCUGCUUUGCGGUUGAUCGGUGGGCCGACUCAGAAAUUCGUGUUGGUUAUAGGUUCAAUAUUUCGCAGCUCGUAUCAAUUAUGCAUAAAGAACAGACGAAGCACAAAGUUUUCUUCUUUGUGAAAGUUCUAGGAGGCUAUUUAAUUUCUGUGGUGAUCAAAUUGAAGCCUUGUUCCAUAAUUUUCUCGUCAAUCUAUAUACCUGAAACUGUAGGGAAGCUUAUCAAAGAGAGCUUUUAACUAUCUGCCUGCAUGCGUUUUGCUGAUUGCUAAAUUUGGUGUGCAGUGCAUCUGAGGGUCUGCCACUCCCCUUUUGAGAAAAGAAAUAUGGUUUCCGCAAACAGGGAAAUGGCUGUGUAUUGCUUUGACACUCUCGUUGCUCACUAUAACAACGAGGAAGCACCCCCUCCCGCCUUUGAUGAGGGCCAACAGUAAACCCGUUCAUCCUACCCUUCCCUCUUUUGUUCCAUUGAUUUCUAGUAUUUACGGCCAUAACCAUAUGAUUGAAUAGAAUUCUGGUGUAAAUGAAGCCCCUUUUUCAGUCUCGUUGUCUUCUUAAAACCCUUUUCGAUAGGUUUCAUAGUUUAAGCUACGAUCGUGAACAAGCAUCCUCGCUUUUUCAAUGGGAACUUUUUUUUUUCUCCUAGUUGUAUGCAUAAAUCAUAAUCAUCCGGCAUUUUAUGGUAGAUGGUACCAUUGUCGAUGAUGAUGAUAACCUCUUCAGUUCAAGCAAUGAUUUCGUGUUUUGUUCUUUCAGACUUCAGAGCCUUCUUUCCUGUUUCAUAUUUCCUUGGUACUUUGAUUUCUAAUGGACUCAGUUUGCUCAUCUGGUUCUAUUAUUUGUAGUGUGGUGUGUUAGCAUUAACUUGAUCUUCUUUGCAGUCGGGUCCUCUUUCAGAAUGUAAAUUUUUUAAAUGUUAUUCUCGCAUCUUGUUCUCACAGGAAUACUUUUUAUUAUCUUUACUGUGAAUUCACUAAGCAUAACAUGUCUUUUGUUAUAAAUUUUCUCCCAGUCCAUUGUUUGUCACUUGGAAGAAAGUGGUCAAUGGUGGUGAGCCUCGUUUACGUGGAUGCAUUGGGACUUUGGAGUCUAGAUACUUGAUUAAUGGAUUCAAGGACUAUGCUUUAACCAGGUAUUGAUGAUGAUAUGUUACUCAUUUAAGAAAUAUGUUUUAAUCUGUUGCACUCAAUGUGUGACAAACAAAUGGACAUUUUCACACCUGGAAAACACCAAUAGCAGUAAACUUAGUAUGGAAAAUGUAGUAAAAACUGUAACAAACGUAAUGAAAUUUGGUGCGUUUAAAUGUUGGAGUCAGGCCUGGACUAUUUCAUCCCCAGCUGCAUCAGUUGGCUCCAGAUUAUUUUUUUCACUGAUUUAUUUGUUAAGAUUAGAUGAAUUUAUUGACAAUCAAUUAUUCUGUUGCGGAUUGUAUUUAGUGCAUUUAGAACUUCUCAUUAUACUUCGUACCUCCUUUUAGAUGAAGUUGUUGGAAGAAUAUGUGAAAAGUGGAACAUAGUUUUCUUGAUAUGGAUUAUACAUUUAUAAGAUGGUACUUGUGCUUCAUGCAUAGUCUUACACCCAUCUCGUCUGACCUUUUCAUCAGAAUUAUUUCUGAAACUAGUUUUCUUAAAUACCUGAUUUGAUUGUUUCUGGAUCUUCUCUGGCCGAUUAUCUUAUGCAUGCCUGCCUCUGAAUUCUAAUUACAAUUUUUUGUAUUGGUACAGUGCUUUAAGGGACCGAAGGUUUCCUCCAAUACAGGCAAAAGAGUUGCCUUCCCUAGAAUGUACAGUGUCUAUUCUAACUGAUUAUGAAACUGCUAACAACUAUCUUGACUGGGAGGUAUGCUUUUUUUCUCCCCACACAUUUGGAAUACUAGUCUAUGCUGUAGCUACUUCGUUUAUAAUCACUAGAGGCUGGGGUUGACUUCAAUUUCUGCAGUUUAAGACCCCAGCCAUUUAUAUCACAAGAAAUGAAAGCUGUUAACGAGUCAUGUGGCAGCUCCAGGACGGUGUCCUUAGACAUAGACGGUUGCAGAAAAGCCAAUAUGAUAAAAAAAGUUGUUAGCUUUGUUUACAUGGUGAUGCAAGUAUACAACCUCUGGUGUUUUUCUGGAGGAAAAUCAAAGCCAAAUGGUCGUCUAGAAUCUAGAUUAUAGACUGACCAAAUGCAAACGUACAUUCAAUGAUAUUGCUAAAUUGCCAUUGUAGAUGUUGGAAAAAAACAAUUCCAAGGCCCUCCGACUAUGUGUUGUUGAACCCUUUAUAGUAUGGUGUGAUUUGUCAAAUAUAAAUAAGCUGCUUCUCUAUUUUGCAAGUUUGGAGUGUCAACUUCCAAGUGGUGAUCUGUUUUGUCAAUUAUGUGCUAGGCUGAUGUAUUAGAUGAAUAUAAGCGUUUAUUUGGGAAAGUUGGCAUCCCGUUGGUAGGAGGCAGUCGUCUCAUGUCAUGGCUCUGGUAUAAGAAUAGUGGGAUGCUGCAAAACUGACUUGGAAAAUGAGGAACAACAAGCAUCUUGAAAAAACUAACUUAAUUAGGUUUGAGGAGUUGGGCCCGUAUAUCCACAUUUAGCAUCUCCAAUGAUAUUUGCAUAUAUGCUCUCCGUUUGUGGCUUUUUGGCUGUUGCUUGCUACUCGUAUUGUGUUGCAACGUGCUUGCAUUGAGGCUGGAGUUUGGAGAUGCUAUCUGGGAAUCUGUUCUUGUUACUGGUUCAUCCAAACUUGUAACAAGUUGAAUUGAUCGUGUUACAAUUGCAGUUUGAUGAUGCACCAAUGUUAUAUUCAUAUCACAUUUGCUCUUCACGUAUUUGUUCACGUGUGGGAUAUUGAGGAUCCUAACAAGAAUAUGGUUUUGUGAUUAGCGUAUGAGCACGACAUCAAUGUGAAACAGGAAGUUCAGUUCCCUUUUGGGGGAUGCUAUUGCCCACCCAUAUCGGUAGUGGGUUAAAUACUUGAUAGGUUUGCUAGAUCCGGAUGCUCAGCCAUAUCGGUAGCAUUCCGCGGUCUUGUCUUAGCCACUCUUCCGGAACUCCAUUAGAUCCGACGCCGCCACAAGUUCCACUGUUAAUCACUUCAGCCAAUUCAUCAGAUUAAGUUGUAAUCUAACAAUUGAGUACUUGAUUGCAACUUUGUGACUUGUGAGAGAACCAUAAGUAAUCUACAUUUGUCCUUGGUAGUGUGCGUAUGCAGGCUUAAAGAUACAAGGACUAAAAUAAGCAUGCCUGUAAAGUUCAAGUACUAAAAAGUUCACAAGAACACUCUUCUGUGGUGGGCCGAACUUGAGCUGCUUUUCUGUCUCUUUUGCUCCUUUUUUCUUUUGGCUUUUGCUAUCUAAUUAUCAGUACCGACAUUUUAGCGUAAGCAGAUUGCUCUCUGCUUCCAAUUUUCCUAUUACUUUCCUUCCGCUCCUCAAUCAAAUCGGUCUUCCUCAAUCUCUCUGUGUUUUCAAUUUCAUCUUCUGUUGACGGAUUCUGCUUCUUCCUUAUGAUCUAACCUACUACCCCCCAUCUGCUUGUUUUUUAAGCUUUGAUUGUAUCUGUUCGUGAUCAUAACUUGGUCUGAUCCACUGAAAUUACCAGGUUCUGGUGACGACACAUCUGCCGUUGAUUUUGCUUCUCGGGUUUCUUUGCAUCCCAAGGUUAGGGGCUCUUCCUGAUUCUCUUGAUGUGAACUUCACCUUUUUUUCCUUCAUGCAUGAUAACUGCUCGACGAAAUGCUUUGUUCUGCAACAUGACACUGUCUGUGCUUUCUAUAAUCUGUUUCCUCUUCGCUAUCUAUAUGGCAAGGCUG